AAACAUUUCAGAAGACCAAAGAAAAAGGGUUCCAUUUCAGCAUUAAUUGCAGUGUAGGGUUUUCUUAACUCUCUUUCCUAGGAAAUAACUCAUUGAUGCACCAUUUGCAAUAAUUAAAUUACAGGCCAAUUCUUUUGACUAAUGUGACUCAGAAGACAUAGGUUAAAAUAGCAUCCAGAAAAUUUCUAAACAGCAUACCUUAUGGAUGAGAAUUUAGCAUGUAUCUUGAGGUUCACAUUAAUCAGAAAGCUGCUACAGAGUCUAUAGGCCUGUUAUUAUAAUUUGCUAUUUUUAAAAUUCUCUGAAGUAAUCAGAAAAUCAACCAGCUCAACAUCCCUAAAGAGAGCUGCUUCCCACCCACCAGCAGUGGCUGACUUCACUGUUGACAUAAAAACCAUGAAGAUCUCAGUCUAGUAUUCUGCCAUGUAAUUGUAUCCUUAAUUUUGGCCUUGUUGAAAGUCUGCUGGAAAACUGAGCUUGUGUGUCCUCAUUAGAAGCAAUUCAUAUGUAAAUCAUUGAAGAUUUUCUUUUAACUUGAAGAAAGAAAAUGUCCCUGUGACUCAAACAUUCUGCAGGCUCUUGCUCCUCUUGUGGUUCCCGUGUGGCCGUGACUCUUGGCAAAUCCGAUGCAGUGUGAGAGGGUUGCUGGCCACACUCUUGGCUGCUCUUGCCUUAGCUGCUGGGGAAAGCAUCUGUCAAGAGACAUUGCCUUUUGACAACCUUGGCUUAGUCAUUGAAAGGACAUGAGGUGAACUACGCUAUCUUCUGCUCUUGUGCCUGGCAUAUAUCCACAGAAGGUGCUUCCUUCUCUUUGGUCAAUACUAGCCAUCUAGAAUCAGCUUUUCUCCAUAUUAGAAGGCCUCAUUUUUCCUCUUUUACAUGCAAAAAUAAGCUGAAGGGGCAGCUUAGCAGUAGUGGAAUAAUAUCCUAGUGUUAAAAUGGAGUAAUGUGGAAAAUACAUUAAAUAAGAAAUGGUGAGAUGAGUUCUCUGGACAAUAAAAUUGGAAUGAACCAAACGAACUGCCAGUACAACACAGUGAAGCGAACGAGCACUGAGGAAACAGCCAUGGCACAAGAUUCAGGUGAAGAUGGGAAAGGGAUGCACCUGAGCCGAUCCACUUGGCCCAGCUCCAGCCCACCAAAAGGCAGUUCCCUAGCUGCCCUCUGCUGCACAGGAGAGCAACAGUUCUGCAAGGACUAUGGAAACCCAUACUUAAAAACUCCCCAAGCUGCAGCUGCCCCCGCCAAAGCUGCCAGAUCUUCCUGGUGGUGGAAACGCUACUGAAGUGCCCUACAGUCACUCCAGCAGGAAGCUGCUUCUCCCUGGGAGUCCCCCUGCUCCAGACAGCGGUCACAGCCACAGCAGCGGGGCCGCUGCCAUCCCCUGCACGCCAACACGCAUCCCGUAGGGCGAGAG
This 1417-nucleotide long non-coding RNA is filed under the name Anser cygnoides (Swan goose). RNAcentral's name for it is "lncRNA (ENSACDG00005018653.1)". Lineage: Eukaryota; Metazoa; Chordata; Aves; Anseriformes; Anatidae. The record is from RNAcentral.